Molecule: ribosomal RNA, 544 nt
Filed under: Gammarus setosus
Lineage: Eukaryota; Metazoa; Arthropoda; Malacostraca; Amphipoda; Gammaridae
Description: SSU rRNA
Rfam family: Eukaryotic small subunit ribosomal RNA
Source: RNAcentral
AGCUUCAGCAGCAUCUAUUAAAGUUGCUGCGGUUAAAAGGCUCGCAGUUGAAUGUCUGUAUCGAGCGCAGGUCAGGUGGACGUUGGGGCGUGGAAGUACGGGCUGUUGGAUGUUCGGAGGGCUUCGUGCUCGACGGCUCCUUCGGCUUUUCCACACACCCCCGUCCGUAACAAGCCUCCUCGCUCGGGUACAUAACGGGAAUCGGUCAAACGGAGUGUGGUUGCUUUUGGAGGUUAACGCUUUCAGGAGUGGCUACGUUAAGCUCCAUCGGUUUCACGGUCACCUUGAGUAAAUCAGAGUGCUCAAAGCAGUCGUAGGGGCCUUGCGCCCUGUGAACAGUCUUGACGGACUGACUUGGUUUUGCAUGGCAUGUCGGAAGACGACGUCGUGUGCUGGCUCAGAGGAUAAAUCAGUGGUACAAGCCAGCCUCGACGUAAUGAUUAAAAGGGACGGUCGAGGGCAUUGGUAUUGCGAGGCGAGAGGUGAAAUUCUGUGACCCCCGCAAGACCUCCUGAAGCGAAAGCGUCUGCCAAGGACGUUUUCA